CCUACGGGAGGCAGCAGUGAGGAAUAUUGGUCAAUGGCCGUAAGGCUGAACCAGCCAAGUAGCGUGAAGGAAGAAGGACCUAUGGUUUGUAAACUUCUUUUAUAGGGGAAUAAAGGUAUGCACGUGUGGAUAUUUGCAUGUACCCUAUGAAUAAGCAUCGGCUAACUCCGUGCCAGCAGCCGCGGUAAUACGGAGGAUGCGAGCGUUAUCCGGAUUUAUUGGGUUUAAAGGGUGCGUAGGUUGGUUUUUAAGUCAGCUGUGAAAGUUUGCGGCUCAACCAUAAAAUUGCCGUUGAAACUGGCAGUCUUGAGUGUGUUUGAGGUAGGCGGAAUGCGUGGUGUAGCGGUGAAAUGCUUAGAUAUCACGCAGAACUCCGAUUGCGAAGGCAGCUUACUAAGCCAUCACUGACACUGAUGCACGAAAGCGUGGGUAUCAAACAGGAUUAGAUACCCUGGUAGUC
Molecule: ribosomal RNA, 460 nt
Filed under: uncultured bacterium
Lineage: Bacteria
Description: partial 16S ribosomal RNA
Rfam family: Bacterial small subunit ribosomal RNA
Source: RNAcentral